GCCAGACUCCUACGGGAGGCAGCAGUGGGGAAUAUUGCACAAUGGGGGAAACCCUGAUGCAGCGACGCCGCGUGAGUGAAGAAGUAUUUCGGUACGUAAAGCUCUAUCAGCAGGGAAGAAAAAAAGUCCUUUGGACUUUGGACGGUACCUGACCAAGAAGCCCCGGCUAACUACGUGCCAGCAGCCGCGGUAAUACGUAGGGGGCAAGCGUUAUCCGGAUUUACUGGGUGUAAAGGGAGCGUAGACGGCGAUGCAAGCCAGAUGUGAAAGCCCGGGGCUCAACCCCGGGACUGCAUUUGGAACUGUGUGGCUGGAGUGUCGGAGAGGCAGGCGGAAUUCCUAGUGUAGCGGUGAAAUGCGUAGAUAUUAGGAGGAACACCAGUGGCGAAGGCGGCCUGCUGGACGAUGACUGACGUUGAGGCUCGAAAGCGUGGGGAGCAAACAGGAUUAGAUACCCGUGUAAA
This 464-nucleotide ribosomal RNA is filed under the name uncultured bacterium. RNAcentral describes it as "bacterial SSU rRNA". It matches the Rfam family "Bacterial small subunit ribosomal RNA", at positions 330 to 793 of the family's 1533-position model. The record is from RNAcentral.